Molecule: ribosomal RNA, 341 nt
Filed under: uncultured bacterium
Lineage: Bacteria
Description: bacterial SSU rRNA
Rfam family: Bacterial small subunit ribosomal RNA
Source: RNAcentral
GUACGCUAUUCAGAGUUUGAUCCUGGCUCAGAUUGAACGCUAGCGGGAUGCCUUACACAUGCAAGUCGAACGGCAGCGACAGGGAGCUUGCUCCUUGGUCGGCGAGUGGCGAACGGGUGAGUAAUGUAUCGGAACGUACCCAGUAGCGGGGGAUAACUACGCGAAAGCGUAGCUAAUACCGCAUACGCCCUACGGGGGAAAGAGGGGGAUCGCAAGACCUCUCACUAUUGGAGCGGCCGAUAUCGGAUUAGCUAGUUGGUGAGGUAAUGGCUCACCAAGGCGACGAUCCGUAGCUGGUUUGAGAGGACGACCAGCCACACUGGGACUGAGACACGGCCCAG